GGUGGCGGAGGGAGGCUAAGGCAAAUGAGGUUGUGCUUUCAGUUACAGCACAUAUAGGGAUUGGGAAUCGGGGUAACAACUCCCUACGAACAUGUAAAUAAACUUUGAAAAAUACUUUGAAGGAAUUGGCAGAACAACUACACCUGAGACUUGGAAAGCAAAAGUCAAAAGCAGAGGAGACAAACAUUCACGCCAUUUACCAGAGACGCGAAGCUGAUUCUGUGAACUUCACAAUUCCUCCAUCAGAGGAGAGAUGGAAUGAAAUCUAUACUAUCACCACACCAUAGCUUGAGAAAGGCUCAGACUGAAGAUCACUGCUUUUAGUUCUCUGGAUGAUUCUGAAACUCCCGAGGGUAUAGAGUAAGACAGACAGUAGUCUCCAAGGUUCUCUGUGUGAGUAGAUGAAUUGAAAUGAAAGAGCAACACUUGAAAGGAGUACUUGAAGAAAAUGUUCCCGACUUGAUAUUGGAAAGAAGAAAAUUGUGAUGCCUCAUAACUGGAGACAUUAUAUAUAUUUCCAUUAUAUAAACAUAGACAAAUGACCUGCAAUAAGCUCUAAGUUGAAAGAGAGUA
Long non-coding RNA from Callorhinus ursinus (northern fur seal), 573 nucleotides. RefSeq lists it as uncharacterized. The record is from RefSeq and is a predicted model, not a curated record. NCBI's taxonomy places the organism in Eukaryota, Metazoa, Chordata, Mammalia, Carnivora, Otariidae.